UUUCAAAUAAAUAUCUAAGCUCAAACCCUAUUCCACCCCGCAGUCGCCGAUAUUCGUGAUAAUGGUAAGUCAAAAGUUACUUUCUGGAACUAAAUUUCAGCUUUCCUUUUUAGGUUCCGCUGAUUCAGGUUUUGGUUAUUAUUAAUUAGUAGUCUUGCAUUUUGUAAGUUUGUUUCAAAUUCAGCUUCCUCUUCCCUUGUUUCAGUCGGAAAAGUUUUCACUCUUAUAUUUGUAGUUAGUUCUGUUUAUUUAUUUAUGCUAUGAUUUCUUAUUGAAUCUUGCAAUUUUAAGGACUGUAGUAGUUAUAGGAGCUUAAAAAUGGGGAAAUUUUAUAAUACCCAUUUGGUUAAUUUUGAUACUUGGAUGAACUUCCAUAUUAGGGGUUUUAGAAUUUGGAUGAUAUCCUGUAGAUACCCGUUUUUGGUUAUUAAUUAUUCUUUCAAUAGUAGUAUCGGGAAUAUUGUUCCUUGCACAAUCACUCCAUGUUGAGAAGGUUGUGGAGCUAAGCUUAAGAAGGUUAGCAGGAUGCUUAGGUUUGCUCCAUUGUUGGGAUGUAUUGGAGGCUCAGAUAUGGAUAUUGUUAAGAACCUACUUCUUAACGUUUCUUUGGAGCACUAAGUGUUUUUUUUUCUCCCAUCUCAUUGAUCAAAUUGUGCACUUGCACUUAAGUUUGCAAGUAGCAGUCUCCUUGUUAAAAUAAGUUUCAUUAGUAUAACUUCCACUAAACUACCAUUAUAUCCACUAUUUUCAUAACUUUUCUCUCAUUACCCACUAUAGGUAAUAUGAAUGUGAUUUCAUUCAUUUUCAUUGAACACGUUGUUGUGAAUUAAUCCACAUCUCUCCUACGUUCCAUGAAAUAUGUCACUUGUUUCAUAACUGUUAUUUGAGAUGAAUUCCUUUCCAAGGCCUAUAAAUAGAGGUUUGAAUGUCUUAUUUGGGGACUUUUUUUGUAUCAUUUAUCAAACUUUGUAACUUGCUUUCUAUAAUCAAAACAACCACUCUAACUCUCAUCCUUCUCAGUCCCUUAUUGUGUCCAUCAAAACUGCUUGCCAUCACACUUGUUCUCCAUAGUCUGCUCCGAUCUUCUUCUCCGUCAUCUCUCCAUGACUCCUCUUUUAGCUAGAUUGUAAUGUGUCCUCAUCUUACUAAAGGAACCCUUUACAUUUUGGAUGAUACCCCAAUGUUAUGUGUGUAACUGCAUUUGCUUUCUUUGCCUCUGGAAUGAUGCUUCAUUAGCCAAAUCAGACUUUUUGAUGUGCUCCAUAAGGCAUCAGCUUCAAAGCUAUUUUCUUGAUGUGUUUUUUUAUAAGCGCAACGGUUACCUCUUAGUAACUCUAAUCUAGCUUUGUAUGGGAUGCCUUUUGUUGAAGUGCAUUCUCUGACGAUACCUUCGGGAUUGGUUGCUUGUCUGACCAGAGUUGUUUUCCUUUUUCUCCACCCUUUAUUAUGAUUCUUCAUAUUAGUCGCAAAUGUUACAUGGUGACCGGACAUAUGUUCUUCGGAACAUCGAUUCCAGAAUCAACUAUAACAUGCAAAUCAUCUGCCUUUGGAGUUUGAGCAAUGGUUCCGUAUUCAGCUAGUGGGAAUUGUUUGAUGUGCAAUUUUAAGUUAUAUUUCUGCAGCUCAUUGAUAUUGUAUGAAUGUUCCCUUGCUAUUCGGAGAAGCUGGGUAAUAGUGUUUAAUUAUUGCUUUGUGAUGCUACUAAUGCUACUAUAAUUUCAUUUCUUUGUCACAAUCUUUUCAACUUGUCCAUAUUGUUUGUGUUUCUGCUUCUGUUGGCUCUCAAUAAUGAACUAAUGACACUGGAUUUUCCAACAAUCAGCAUGUUUCAACUUUCAACUACUCAUUUUUGCCUAAAACAUAAUCCUUUUUAUUUGCAUUGAGCAAAUUUGUAGUGCUCUUUUCAGUAGUUGGAAGAAAUUUGAUAAGAAACAGUUUGGCAGACUUGAAGCAUUCCGUUACUUUACGAACUGUUUAAACGGAAAGCUCUGUUGUGCCGCCCUGCUGUUCCGAAGACGGUGGAAGGAAGAUUACUAAUGGAAAACAGAUGCAGUGUUGUCUUGAACUUGUUUGGGCUUUGUUUUGUUGAUGUAAAACUUUAGAACAAAAAGUGAAUUUGCUUUUUUCAACUUUCUAUUGGUUAACUUAAGCUAUGAGUACUAUGCUGGAACUGCAAUUUCCACCUUUGGCAAGAUUUAGUGUUCUUUUAUUUAAUUAAUCCCCUCAAAUCAUGUCAAUAACAAUUCUAUGGCUGUUGGCAAGAAUUUGGAAUUUGUGAAAGAUAAUCAUCUUAUUGUUGAUGUUUUCGAGACUUGGUUGGCUUACAAAGAAAUGAUAGACCCUCAAUAAUCGACACUCUUGGAAACAAGUGCUUGUUGCACUAAUGUCAUUCAUACCGUUGAUAUAUUUGCUUAUUUCAAUUGGAUAAAUUUUGUUUGUGCCGUCCAAAAACCUUAACCCAUUCUUGUUAAUUCUAAAUUUCGAGUAUUACAUUGACAAAUCAUAUUAAACUUGUG
Molecule: long non-coding RNA, 2516 nt
Filed under: Gossypium barbadense (sea-island cotton)
Lineage: Eukaryota; Viridiplantae; Streptophyta; Magnoliopsida; Malvales; Malvaceae
Description: long non-coding RNA (GBAR_LNC010847)
Rfam family: small nucleolar RNA snoR127 (bases 1217-1417)
Source: RNAcentral